This is a non-coding RNA of Aedes aegypti (yellow fever mosquito), 72 nucleotides long. NCBI's taxonomy places the organism in Eukaryota, Metazoa, Arthropoda, Insecta, Diptera, Culicidae. The record is from Rfam.
UGCUCAGUAGCUUUUUUGGUAAAGCACUCGUUUAGCAUACAAAAGUCGUAGGUUCGAAUCCCACCUGAGCAC